UGAGGCGGCCAGAGCGAUGGGGUGACACCCGUACCCAUCCCGAACACGGAAGUUAAGCCCAUCUGCGUACCGGGGAGUACUGGAGUGCGCGAGCCUCUGGGAAACGCGGUUCGCUGCCUCGC
This 122-nucleotide ribosomal RNA is filed under the name Halorubellus sp. JP-L1. The record is from RNAcentral. Lineage: Archaea; Methanobacteriati; Methanobacteriota; Halobacteria; Halobacteriales; Halorubellaceae.